RNAcentral lists this ribosomal RNA (520 nucleotides) under uncultured Entrophospora. RNAcentral's name for it is "SSU rRNA". It matches the Rfam family "Eukaryotic small subunit ribosomal RNA", at positions 569 to 1078 of the family's 1831-position model. The record is from RNAcentral. Lineage: Eukaryota; Fungi; Glomeromycota; Glomeromycetes; Entrophosporales; Entrophosporaceae.
AGCAGCCGCGGUAAUUCCAGCUCCAAUAGCGUAUAUUAAAGUUGUUGCAGUUAAAAAGCUCGUAGUUGAAUUUCGGGAUUGACCCAUCGGUCGUGCCUUAAGGGGGUAUGAACUGGUGUAGUCAAUUUCUCACCUUCUGGAGAACCGCGAUGUCCUUAAUUGGGUGCCGCGAGGAACCAGGACCUUUACUUUGAAAAAAUUGAGUGUUUAAAGCAGGCAUUUUUGCUUGAAUACAUUAGCGUGGAAUAAUAAAAUAGGAACGGCAUGGUUCUAUUUUGUUGGUUUCUAGGAUCACCGUAAUGAUUAAUAGGGAUAGUUGGGGGCAUUAGUAUUCAAUUGUCAGAGGUGAAAAUUCUUGGAUUUNUUGAAGACUAACUACUGCGAAAGCAUUUGCCAAGGAUGUUUUCAUUAAUCAAGAACGAAAGUUAGGGAUCGAAGACGAUCAGAUACCGUCGUAGUCUUAACCAUUAAACUAUGACCUACUAGGGAUCGGAUGAUUGUUAAUUUUUAAUGUACUUCA